RNAcentral lists this ribosomal RNA (376 nucleotides) under Amphipoda sp. BOLD:ADF6944. RNAcentral's name for it is "partial 16S ribosomal RNA". Lineage: Eukaryota; Metazoa; Arthropoda; Malacostraca; Amphipoda. The record is from RNAcentral.
GACGGUUAAACAAAUAUAAGUGUCUUGUUUAAAAAAGGUAAUUUAUAAGGCAAGUAAAAAUUCUUGUAUAUUGUUAUGGGACGAUAAGACCCUAAAAACUUUAUUUUAGCGGUGGUUGUUUAGUAUUGAUAAUCAAGUUUUUUUAGCUGGGGUAGUUACUUUAGGUAGUCUGAGGUUUUUAAGAUAUCUUAGUUGAGUUUAAAGGUCUUUUAUAUAGGGAUAGCACGGUUAAGUUACUUUAGGGGUAACAGCGUAAUAUCUCCGGAGAGGCCUUAUUUAUGGAGUUGAUUUCGACCUCGAUGUUGAAUUAGAAUUUCUUUUUGAGGCAAAAAAUAAAAGAGAGGGUUUGUUCAACCUGUGAAUUUUUACAUGAUUU